UCGCUUUCGUGAAUAUUGUGGCGCAGUUGAUCGUCUCCAUGUUAAGGUGAAGGUAGAAAGUGUGUGUGAGCUGAAUUGAGCAGCAUGGAUCAGUGUGAGGACAGAGAGGAGGGAGUCCCUCCCUCUAAAAGCACUCUGUGUGGGAACAUGAGAGCCAGACCAAAGCUCAGAGGAACCAGCCUGGACCUCCACCCAGCUCUGUGUCCUGUAAGAGUGACACGUCUAAAGGUCUUGGUAUUGAUUUUAAAGUCUCUGCUGCAGAGAGAGGUCAGAGGUCACAGUCUGCAGGAUCCAGCUGUCCGUCUGUGAGGAGUGACCGGUCCAAACAUCACCCUCCAGACUUCAGUGCUGAACCUGGACCAACGAGAGGGAGGAAGAGGAAGAGGAGUGGUGUUUGUGAGGAGGAGCAGCCGUCCUGCUGUGCUUUGUGUCAGGGACGUCCUGAAGGAUCCAGUCUCUACCAGCUGUG
Pelmatolapia mariae (spotted tilapia) is the source of this 469-nucleotide long non-coding RNA. RefSeq lists it as uncharacterized. NCBI's taxonomy places the organism in Eukaryota, Metazoa, Chordata, Actinopteri, Cichliformes, Cichlidae. The transcript has 5 exons. The record is from RefSeq and is a predicted model, not a curated record.